CCGAGGAGCACCUGGAGUCUUACACUCAGCACUAUCAGAAGUUGCAUCCGGAUGUUCCUGUUCCUGAGGUAGCCCAGUCUCAGAUCGACGACACGGCGGUGGUGGCCAUCCAGGGGAAGUCACAUGGCCGGUAUCCGUGUUUUGAUGGCUUGAUAACUCCUUCGAUCUCAUACACACGGCUUCGGUCUACCAACCCGAGCCAGUUAGAGAGUACGGGGCGUUCACAGACUCCCUUAGCCCGCCAGCAUGCUGCAUAUAAGGCCUUUGUCGAGCAUAGGAAUCUCGAGGUGCGAGAGUACUUGCAACGAGUGAAGGCAAAUGAUGAUUACAACCGUCAGAUGAUGGCGGUUAGUUUUGCCCUCUUAAAACCAAGCUAAAUUUUUGCACUUUCAUUCCUUCUGACCUUCUAGUUUGCUUGUUUAACUAACAUCCAGGCUAUGUUGGCGUCUUGGAGUAACCGCAUGGAUCCACCACAAAUGGGACCCCCACCACCACCUGCGGGAGAACCCCCACACGUGCCCACGUUCGAUGAAUGGGUGGCACUAGGCAGUGAUGGUCCGGGGACCGGUGGCUCGACUACUGCUCCGUCGACCCCAGUCACUCCGAUCUGGCAGAGUGAUGGUGGUCGCGGUGGCGGUUUUGGCGGAGGUGGUCUUGGUGGUGGUGGUUUUGGCGGAGGUGGUCUUGGUGGUGGUUUUGGCGGAGGUGGUCUUGCUUGAUGUCGAUGAUGAUUCCGUGCAUGUGGCCGUCGUGCCAUGCCUUUCAUGUUGCUACUUUUAUGAUGUUCCAUGUCUUGCACUACUUUUAUGUUCAUGAACUUCCGCCGGUGAUGAUCUUUAGAUGAUGAUGAUGAACUUGACUAUGUUUAGAUGAUGAUGAUGAAC
Molecule: non-coding RNA, 884 nt
Organism: Triticum urartu
Lineage: Eukaryota; Viridiplantae; Streptophyta; Magnoliopsida; Poales; Poaceae
Source: RefSeq, a predicted model, not a curated record